Non-coding RNA from Nylanderia fulva, 1958 nucleotides. Lineage: Eukaryota; Metazoa; Arthropoda; Insecta; Hymenoptera; Formicidae. The record is from RefSeq and is a predicted model, not a curated record.
UCUCAUUUUUGCUUUUAUUACAAUCAUCAAAUUAUAAUUAAAAUAUACCAACUCUAUAUUUCUCCUGUAUUGAAUAUGUAUAAUUCAUCUAUGAUACUCGAGACGAAAGAACUUUAGAUAUAUUUUAUGAUUCCAUAUUGAAUAAUUGCUUUUGACGUAAGAAUUUAAUACGACUGUGUUCCUUAGAGAUUAGAAAGCUUGAUGAAAAUUGCAGAAAACAGGUUCCUGGACGAGAAUAUAUAUACGUAAUCUAUUUCUCACCUCCGUAGCAAUGUACGCUUCUUCAGCAGUACAUUCCGCCUUGCUCGUUGGAUUACUCAGAGCGAAGAUGAUGGGGGUUUCGUUGUUUCGUGCCAUCUCCCUCAAUAUUUCCUCCGUGAAAGCACCCCGGACAGCAGCUGCGCCGAUGAGAACCGACGGUUUGGCAGCCUUGACAACGUCCAACAGGGUGUCGAUUGGUUGAUCGUCACGAGCAAAAUGCAAUUUAUGCUCCGUCAGUCCGCCCUUUGGACGAUCUUUCACCAGGAGUCCUUUAGAGUCCACCAUCCAGAUUUUACUCUUAGCUUCCUCCUCGGUCACUCCUUCCUUCAGCAUCGCCAUGACGCACAAUGCUGCAAUACCUAAUGACGCCUGCGAAUAGUUUGUUUAUGACUCACACAUAUUUCUCUCGAUUCAUUUUAUAAUGACUUAAAAAAAAGACUUGCACGCGCACCUCUCCGGCACCCUGAAACACGAUCGUGUUCUCCGAGAGUUUUGUUUGCGUGACACGGAGCGACGCCAAUAAUCCAGCGACUGCGACAGAAGCGGUGCCCUGGAUAUCGUCGUUGAAGGUACAAUAAUCAUUGCGAUAUUUCUGGAGCAGUCUGAACGCGUUAGCGUUCCCAAAGUCCUCGAACUGGAUCAACGUGUUUGGACCGUAUCGUCUCACGACAGACUCCAUGAAUUCGUCCAGGAAGUCGUCGUAUUCUUGUCCGGUGACGCGUCUGUGUCUAUGACCAAUAUACAGAGGAUCGUCCAGUAACGACUGCAAAAAAAGGGAAUGCAUUUUUUAAAUGAAAAAUCACAAAGAGAGUCAUUGAUGAAGGACAACCAGAUGAAGAGUCGUCUGGUGUUAAAAAGUGAGCGUAUUUUCGCGCACCUGAGUAUUAGUACCAACGUCCAGGGUAAUAGGCAGACACUGAUGAGGUUUGAUGCCAGCCAAUGCGGUGUACAAUGACAGUUUCCCAAUUGGGAUACCCAUCCCAUGUGCACCCAGAUCACCCAAUCCCAGUAUUCUCUCGCCGUCCGUGACGACGAUCGCUCGUAUGUCGUGUUCGGGCCAGUUUUUCAGAACAUCGUAGACGUGACCUCGAUCGUGGAUGCUCACGAAGAGACCACGGGGCCUGCGAUAGAUCAGACCGAACUUCUGACAGGCUAGACCUACAGUUGGCGUGUACACCAGGGGCAUCAUUUUACCUACGUCCUCUGCCAACAAACGGUAGAAGAGUUUCUCGUUUCUGUCCUAGGAGGAACAAGACUCUAUGUAAGAAUCAACGUGAGAGAAGUGUACAAGAAGGAAAGCCUGAUUAAGCCGAAGACCGGGAGAUCCAUAAUAGAUCUCCGAUCCGAAGCGGUACAGUCGCCGCGUUUGUUUCAUCGCAUCGACUCUGGCCGCAAUUAAAAGGAUGUGCUGAUUAUGCAACUAGCGUGGGUGAAAGGUGAUCUGCUGAUCGUGGUGCUACCUCGAUUUUUGCCAACUGGAUUGGCCAAUGUGCAUGCGUGUGUCACGAUAGAAUCCAGUGAAGAUGGAAAUUAUUUAGGUACCUAUAUAUGUACACGAAAGAUAGAGAACCUCGUAUGAUCUACAUUCACUUGCAAGGAUACUAACUUUCAAAAUGCCUGUGGCAACAUCAUAGUUACACAUCUAAUCGAAUCUUGCACAGAUGAUGUUAUGCUAGAAUAAAUUGAAUUUUGCAAAA